Molecule: ribosomal RNA, 378 nt
Filed under: Mycobacterium tuberculosis
Lineage: Bacteria; Bacillati; Actinomycetota; Actinomycetes; Mycobacteriales; Mycobacteriaceae
Description: bacterial SSU rRNA
Rfam family: Bacterial small subunit ribosomal RNA
Source: RNAcentral
UCUCUCGGAUUGACGGUAGGUGGAGAAGAAGCACCGGCCAACUACGUGCCAGCAGUCGCGGUAAUACGUAGGGUGCGAGCGUUGUCCGGAAUUACUGGGCGUAAAGAGCUCGUAGGUGGUUUGUCGCGUUGUUCGUGAAAUCUCACGGCUUAACUGUGAGCGUGCGGGCGAUACGGGCAGACUAGAGUACUGCAGGGGAGACUGGAAUUCCUGGUGUAGCGGUGGAAUGCGCAGAUAUCAGGAGGAACACCGGUGGCGAAGGCGGGUCUCUGGGCAGUAACUGACGCUGAGGAGCGAAAGCGUGGGGAGCGAACAGGAUUAGAUACCCUGGUAGUCCACGCCGUAAACGGUGGGUACUAGGUGUGGGUUUCCUUCCUU